CUCCCCGUAGUUCAAUGGAUAGAACGGGCGCCUCCUAAGCGCCAGAUCUGGGUUCGAUUCCCGGCGGGGGGA
RNAcentral lists this transfer RNA (72 nucleotides) under Burkholderiales bacterium. RNAcentral describes it as "tRNA-Arg". It matches the Rfam family "tRNA". From Rfam's summary of the family: Transfer RNA (tRNA) molecules are approximately 80 nucleotides in length. Their secondary structure includes four short double-helical elements and three loops (D, anti-codon, and T loops). Further hydrogen bonds mediate the characteristic L-shaped molecular structure. tRNAs have two regions of fundamental functional importance: the anti-codon, which is responsible for specific mRNA codon recognition, and the 3' end, to which the tRNAs corresponding amino acid is attached (by aminoacyl-tRNA synthetases). tRNAs cope with the degeneracy of the genetic code in two manners: having more than one tRNA (with a specific anti-codon) for a particular amino acid; and 'wobble' base-pairing, i.e. permitting non-standard base-pairing at the 3rd anti-codon position. The record is from RNAcentral. RNAcentral also lists the same sequence under 1 other name. Lineage: Bacteria; Pseudomonadati; Pseudomonadota; Betaproteobacteria; Burkholderiales.